UACGGAGGGUGCGAGCGUUGUCCGGAAUCAUUGGGCGUAAAGGGCGCGUAGGUGGCGGGACAAGCGUGCGGUGAAAGCCUGGGGCUCAACCCCGGGUCGGCCGUGCGAACUGUUUUGCUUGAGCACUGUAGAGGCAGGCGGAAUUCCGGGUGUAGCGGUGGAAUGCGUAGAGAUCCGGAAGAACACCGGUGGCGAAGGCGGCUCUCUGGGACGGUACUGACGCUGAGGCGCGAAAGCGUGGGGAGCAAACAGG
Molecule: ribosomal RNA, 253 nt
Filed under: uncultured bacterium
Lineage: Bacteria
Description: partial 16S ribosomal RNA
Rfam family: Bacterial small subunit ribosomal RNA
Source: RNAcentral